ACUAACAAGGAUUCCCCUAGUAACUGCGAGUGAAGCGGGAAGAGCUCAAAUUUGUAAUCUGCCAUUUGGCCGAGUUGUAAUCUGGAGAAGCGUUAUCAGGCGCCGACCGCAUUAAAGUCUCUUGGAACAGGGCGUCACAGAGGGUGAGAAUCCCGUGAGUAAUGCGGCUGCGGCGUUGUAGAGGCGCUCUCGAUGAGUCGAGUUGUUUGGGAAUGCAGCUCAAAUGGGUGGUAAACUCCAUCUAAAGCUAAAUAUUGGCGAGAGACCGAUAGCGAACAAGUACCGUGAGGGAAAGAUGAAAAGGACUUUGGAAAGAGAGUUAAAGAGUACGUGAAAUUGCUGAAAGGGAAGCGCUUGAAGUGAGUCGCGCGGGCAGGAUUCAGCUUUGCGUAUUUCCUGCCUGUGGGCCAGCAUCGACGCUGGGCGGCGGACAAGGGCGGUGGGAAUGUGGCACCUUCGGGUGUGUUAUAGCCUGCGUCGUACACGCUGCCUUACGUCGAGGACUGCUUAUAGGAUGCUGGCGUAAUGGCUUUAAGCGACC
RNAcentral lists this ribosomal RNA (541 nucleotides) under Cerinomyces canadensis. RNAcentral describes it as "eukaryotic LSU rRNA". It matches the Rfam family "Eukaryotic large subunit ribosomal RNA", at positions 64 to 649 of the family's 3401-position model. The record is from RNAcentral. Lineage: Eukaryota; Fungi; Basidiomycota; Dacrymycetes; Dacrymycetales; Cerinomycetaceae.